Molecule: ribosomal RNA, 1360 nt
Filed under: Oreogeton sp. DY-2020
Lineage: Eukaryota; Metazoa; Arthropoda; Insecta; Diptera; Empididae
Description: 16S ribosomal RNA
Rfam family: Archaeal large subunit ribosomal RNA (bases 1108-1267)
Source: RNAcentral
UUUAAUUUUUAUUUAUUAUUUUAUUUAAUUGAUUUAAAUAUUUAAUUAUUAAAAAUAAUUAUAAAAUUUAGAGUUUUAUUAUUUUAUAAAGAAAAAAUAAAAUUAAUAAUAGUUUAUUAGUAUUGUAAAAGAAUAUUGAAAUAAUUUGAAAAAUUUAUAUAUAAAAAGAAAAUUUAAUUUAUUGUACCUUGUGUGUCAGGGUUUAUUUAUUAAAAAAUAAUAAUUUUUAUUUUUCUCGAUUUUAAAAGAUUUAAUAAAUUAUUAUAGUUAUUGUGACAAAAUUAUUAUAAAUAAUUUAUUAGAAAUGAAAUGUUAUUCGUUUUUAAAGGUAUCUAGUUUUUUAAGAAAUAAAUUUAAUUUAGUUUUUAUAAAUUUAUAAUUUUAAUUAAUUUUAAAAUUGUAAUUUUAUAAAAAUAAUAUUUUAUGGGAUAAGCUAUAAAAUAAAAUAUUAAAAAUAAUAGAUAUAAUUUUAUUUAAUAAUAUAAUAAUAUAUAUGCUUAGAAUUAGUAAUUAUUAAUAAAUUUGUUAUAAUUUAUUUUUUAUUGAUUAUUAUUUAUUAAAUUUUAAUUAUUUAUUAAAAUAUUUAUUUUAAUUUUAAAAGUAAAUUAAUAAUGAUAAAAUUAGUAUAUUUUAAUAUUUAUGUAUAAAAAUAAAUAAUAAUGAAAAGUUUUUAUAAAGAAUUCGGCAAAAUAAAAUAUUCGCUUGUUUAACAAAAACAUGUCCUUUAGUAUUUAAUUUAAGGUCUAACCUGCCCACUGAUUUUUAUUUAAUGGCCGCAGUAUUUUAACUGUGCAAAGGUAGCAUAAUCAUUAGUCUUUUAAUUGAAGGCUUGUAUGAAUGGUUGGACGAGAUAUUAACUGUUUCAUAAAAAUUUAAAAUAGAAUUUUAUUUUUUAGUUAAAAAGCUAAAAUUUAUUUAAAAGACGAGAAGACCCUAUAGAGCUUAAUAAUUUUAUAAUUUUAAUUAUAAAGAUUAUUUAAAUUAUAAUUAUGUAAAAUUAUUUUAUUGGGGUGAUAUUAAAAUUUAAAAAACUUUUAUUAAAUUAAAACCAUUAAUUUAUGAAUAAUUGAUCCUUUAUUAAUGAUUAAAAAUUUAAGUUACCUUAGGGAUAACAGCGUAAUUUUUUUGGAGAGUUCAUAUCGAUAAAAAAGAUUGCGACCUCGAUGUUGAAUUAAGAUAUAAUUUUGGGUGCAGUAGUUCAAAUUUUAAGUCUGUUCGACUUUUAAAUUCUUACAUGAUUUGAGUUCAGACCGGCGUAAGCCAGGUUGGUUUCUAUCUUUAAAAUAUUAAAAUAUUUUAGUACGAAAGGGCCAAAUAUUUAAAAAAUAAUUUUUUAUUAAUAUGUAUAAAAUUAAUUAUA